This 309-nucleotide ribosomal RNA is filed under the name Triticum aestivum (bread wheat). Its description in RNAcentral is "partial small subunit ribosomal RNA". The record is from RNAcentral. Lineage: Eukaryota; Viridiplantae; Streptophyta; Magnoliopsida; Poales; Poaceae.
AAGAAGCGUGAGUUUCGCAACCUACGCCAAGGAGGACGCACCGUAGGCCAGUAUGUGGAGGAAUUCAGUAAGUUAGCACGUUAUGCACCAGAUGACGUUGCUACAGAUGCUGCCAAGCAGGAGAAGUUUCUGGAAGGAUUGAAUGAUGAGCUGAGUAUGCAGUUGAUGGUAGCAACUUUCAACAACUACCAGGAGCUGGUAGAUAGAGCUCUCAUGAUUGAAGGGAAGCAACAUCAGAUUGAAAACCGCAAGAGGAAGUAUGGACAAGGGAAGUACAAUUCUGGAGCCCAGCAGAAGCCACGAUUUACC